AAAUGGUACCAAAGUUGAAAAUGGUACCAAAGUUGAAAAUGGUACAAAAGUUGAAAAUGGUACCAAAGUUAAAAAUGGCUUUGGUACCAUUUUCAGCUUUGGUACCAUUUUCAACUUUGGUA
Molecule: microRNA precursor, 122 nt
Filed under: Strigamia maritima
Lineage: Eukaryota; Metazoa; Arthropoda; Chilopoda; Geophilomorpha; Linotaeniidae
Description: microRNA mir-598
Source: RNAcentral